RNAcentral lists this ribosomal RNA (404 nucleotides) under Actinomycetes bacterium. RNAcentral describes it as "Actinobacteria bacterium partial 16S ribosomal RNA". It matches the Rfam family "Bacterial small subunit ribosomal RNA", at positions 355 to 776 of the family's 1533-position model. Lineage: Bacteria; Bacillati; Actinomycetota; Actinomycetes. The record is from RNAcentral.
UGGGGAAUAUUGGACAAUGGGCGCAAGCCUGAUCCAGCCAUGCCGCGUGAGUGAUGAAGGCCCUAGGGUUGUAAAGCCCUUUCACCGGUGAAGAUAAUGACGGUAACCGGAGAAGAAGCCCCGGCUAACUUCGCGCCAGCAGCCGCGGCAAUACGAAGGGGGCUAGCGUUGUUCGGAUUUACUGGGCGUAAAGCGCACGUAGGCGGACUUUUAAGUCAGGGGUGAAAUCCCGGGGCUCAACCCCGGAACUGCCUUUGAUACUGGAAGUCUUGAGUAUGGUAGAGGUGAGUGGAAUUCCGAGUGUAGAGGUGAAAUUCGUAGAUAUUCGGGGGAACACCAGUGGCGAAGGCGGCUCACUGGAACAUUACUGGCUCUGAGGUGCGAAAGCGUGGGGAGCAAACAGG